This 254-nucleotide ribosomal RNA is filed under the name uncultured bacterium. RNAcentral's name for it is "partial 16S ribosomal RNA". It matches the Rfam family "Bacterial small subunit ribosomal RNA", at positions 524 to 776 of the family's 1533-position model. The record is from RNAcentral.
UCCGGGGGGAGCAAGCGUUGUUCGGAUUUACUGGGCGUAAAGGGCGCGUAGGCGGUCGUGACAGGUCACUUGUGAAAUCUCCGGGCUUAACUCGGAACGGUCAAGUGAUACUGUCGGACUAGAGUACAGAAGGGGCAACUGGAAUUCUCGGUGUAGCGGUGAAAUGCGUAGAUAUCGAGAGGAACACCUGCGGCGAAGGCGGGUUGCUGGGCUGAUACUGAUGCUGAGGCGCGAAAGCCAGGGGAGCGAACGGG